GGAAGUAUAAGUCGUAACAAGGUUUCCGUAGGUGAACCUGCGGAAGGAUCAUUAUUGUAUAACCGAGGUGCGAGGGCUGUCGCUGACCCGAAAGGUCGUGCACGCCCGAGUGCCCUCACACACAUCCAUCUCACCCCUAUGUGCACCACCGCGUGGGUCCCCCUUUGGUUUGUUCGGAGGGGGGCUUACGUUUUCACACAAACUUUGUAUGCAGUGUAGAAUGUAUUUUUUGUUUUUGCGAUCACGCAAUCAAUACAACUUUCAACAACGGACCUCUUGGCUCUC
This 285-nucleotide unclassified non-coding RNA is filed under the name plant metagenome. RNAcentral's name for it is "partial contains small subunit ribosomal RNA and internal transcribed spacer 1". The stretch from base 1 to 54 matches the Rfam family "Eukaryotic small subunit ribosomal RNA", at positions 1778 to 1831 of the family's 1831-position model. The record is from RNAcentral.